Molecule: ribosomal RNA, 254 nt
Filed under: uncultured bacterium
Lineage: Bacteria
Description: partial 16S ribosomal RNA
Rfam family: Bacterial small subunit ribosomal RNA
Source: RNAcentral
UACGAAGGAGGCUAGCGUUGCUCGGAAUCACUGGGCGUAAAGGGUGCGUAGGCGGGUCUUUAAGUCAGGGGUGAAAUCCUGGAGCUCAACUCCAGAACUGCCUUUGAUACUGAGGAUCUUGAGUUCGGGAGAGGUGAGUGGAACUGCGAGUGUAGAGGUGAAAUUCGUAGAUAUUCGCAAGAACACCAGUGGCGAAGGCGGCUCACUGGCCCGAUACUGACGCUGAGGCACGGAAAGCGUGGGGAGCAAACAGG